GAAAUGCGAUAAGUAGUGUGAAUUGCAGAAUUCAGUGAAUCAUCGAAUCUUUGAACGCACAUUGCGCUUCCUGGUAUUCCGGGGAGCACGCCCGUUCCAGAAUCAAUAAUAAUCUCACCCGUUUCGGUGCUUGGCACUCAACUGAGGUGGACCUGGAUUUUUGCUUCGGCAAUCGUCUGAAAUUGAUUGUGUGUGCACCAAUUGCUCGGUCUCUUGGUUGUCCAAGUGCAACAGAUUUAUCUAUUCGCUUGGGCAGUCCGGUGACUGCCUCAAUGCGCAUUCUCAUUUCAUUUUACGGAACUCGAAUCUGAUGAUGGCAGUUCUGAUCACUUGAUCUGGAAUCGGGCGGGAAAACCCGCUGAACUUAA
Molecule: unclassified non-coding RNA, 368 nt
Filed under: uncultured fungus
Lineage: Eukaryota; Fungi
Description: sequence contains ITS1
Rfam family: 5.8S ribosomal RNA (bases 1-105)
Source: RNAcentral